Molecule: ribosomal RNA, 425 nt
Filed under: uncultured bacterium
Lineage: Bacteria
Description: partial 16S ribosomal RNA
Rfam family: Bacterial small subunit ribosomal RNA
Source: RNAcentral
GUUAGGAAUAUUGGACAAUGGGCGCAAGCCUGAUCCAGCCAUGCCGCGUGAACGAUGAAGGCCUUCGGGUUGUAAAGUUCUUUAGCCGAUGAUUAUAAUGACUGUAGUCGGAAAAUAAGCCCCGGCUAACUUCGUGCCAGCAGCCGCGGUAAUACGAAGGGGGCGAGCGUUAUUCGGAAUCACUGGGCGUAAAGCGUGCGUAGGCGGUCUCGUAAGUUAGGAGUGAAAGCCCAGGGCUCAACCUUGGAAUUGCUCUUAAAACUGCAAGGCUAGAAUCUCGGAGAGGAUAGCGGAAUUUCCAGUGUAGCAGUGAAAUGCGUAGAUAUUGGAAGGAACACCAGUGGCGUAAGCGGCUAUCUGGACGAGUAUUGACGCUGAGGCACGAAAGCGUGGGGAUCAAACAGGAUUAGAUACCCUGGUAGUCC